RNAcentral lists this ribosomal RNA (451 nucleotides) under uncultured bacterium. RNAcentral's name for it is "bacterial SSU rRNA". It matches the Rfam family "Bacterial small subunit ribosomal RNA", at positions 354 to 796 of the family's 1533-position model. The record is from RNAcentral.
GUGGGGAAUAUUGGACAAUGGGGGGAACCCUGAUCCAGCCAUGUCGCGUGUGUGAAGAAGGCCUUUUGGUUGUAAAGCACUUUAAGCGAGGAGGAGGCUACCGAGAUUAAUACUCUUGGAUAGUGGACGUUACUCGCAGAAUAAGCACCGGCUAACUCUGUGCCAGCAGCCGCGGUAAUACAGAGGGUGCAAGCGUUAAUCGGAUUUACUGGGCGUAAAGCGCGCGUAGGUGGCCAAUUAAGUCAAAUGUGAAAUCCCCGAGCUUAACUUGGGAAUUGCAUUCGAUACUGGUUGGCUAGAGUAUGGGAGAGGAUGGUAGAAUUCCAGGUGUAGCGGUGAAAUGCGUAGAGAUCUGGAGGAAUACCGAUGGCGAAGGCAGCCAUCUGGCCUAAUACUGACACUGAGGUGCGAAAGCAUGGGGAGCAAACAGGAUUAGAAACCCGUGUAGUCC